This 253-nucleotide ribosomal RNA is filed under the name uncultured bacterium. RNAcentral describes it as "partial 16S ribosomal RNA". It matches the Rfam family "Bacterial small subunit ribosomal RNA", at positions 524 to 776 of the family's 1533-position model. The record is from RNAcentral.
CACGUAGGGCGCAAGCGUUGUCCGGAAUUAUUGGGCGUAAAGAGCUCGUAGGCGGUCUGUUGCGUCCGCUGUGAAAACUCGGGGCUUAACCCCGAGCCUGCAGUGGAUACGGGCAGACUAGAGGUAGGUAGGGGAGAAUGGAAUUCCCGGUGUAGCGGUGAAAUGCGCAGAUAUCGGGAGGAACACCGGUGGCGAAGGCGGCUUCCUGGACCGACACUGACGCUGAGGCGCGAAAGCUAGGGGAGCAAACGGG